AGUGAACGCUGGCGGUAGGCCUAACACAUGCGAGUCGAACGGCAGCACAGUAAGAGCUUGCUCUUACGGGUGGCGAGUGGCGGACGAGUGAGGAAUACAUCGGAAUCUACUUUUUCGUGGGGGAUAACGUAGGGAAACUUACGCUAAUACCGCAUACGACCUACGGGUGAUAGCAGGGGAUCUUCGGACCUUGCGCGAUUGAAUGAGCCGAUGUCGGAUUAGCUAGUUGGCGGGGUAAAGGCCCACCAAGGCGACGAUCCGUAGCUGGUCUGAGAGGAUGAUCAGCCACACUGGAACUGAGACACGGUCCAGACUCCUACGGGAGGCAGCAGUGGGGAAUAUUGGACAAUGGGCGCAAGCCUGAUCCAGCCAUACCGCGUGGGUGAAGAAGGCCUUCGGGUUGUAAAGCCCUUUUGUUGGGAAAGAAAAGCAGCAGGUUAAUACCCCGCUGUUCUGACGGUACCCAAAGAAUAAGCACCGGCUAACUUCGUG
Molecule: ribosomal RNA, 492 nt
Filed under: uncultured bacterium
Lineage: Bacteria
Description: partial 16S ribosomal RNA
Rfam family: Bacterial small subunit ribosomal RNA
Source: RNAcentral